Episyrphus balteatus (marmalade hoverfly) is the source of this 358-nucleotide long non-coding RNA. RefSeq lists it as uncharacterized. The record is from RefSeq and is a predicted model, not a curated record. The transcript has 2 exons. Lineage: Eukaryota; Metazoa; Arthropoda; Insecta; Diptera; Syrphidae.
AAAUAAUUAAAUAAAUUAAAUGUCAACAAUGUAAUGUCGAAAAACUAACUCUUCUUUGGGGAUGAAAAACCCUAAUGGCUCUUCUCCUGCCCAUUAUAAGACCUUCAGCCUGGAGAUAAACAAGACCAAGAUUUUGCUGAAAUUCAAGAAACACAUAAAUUAGAAGAAAAAUCAAAAAAACUAAACGUUUAAUUUACAAAGACGAAUGUUUGCGGGAGGAAUUGAAGCAAAACCUCUCGCUGCACAACCCGAGGUUCAUCCAAUCCCGUCGGCCAAACUAUAAGAUAAACCAAAUACAUAUAAAACAACGGAUAGAGAAAAAUAAUUCAAUAAACUUACGUUUCUAAAAAAUCCCAAA